Haliotis rubra (blacklip abalone) is the source of this 167-nucleotide small nuclear RNA. RefSeq annotates it as U1 spliceosomal RNA. Lineage: Eukaryota; Metazoa; Mollusca; Gastropoda; Lepetellida; Haliotidae. The transcript has a single exon. The record is from RefSeq and is a predicted model, not a curated record.
AUACCUCUACCUGGCGGUACAGGCUUUACAGUGAUCCGCAAGGCUGUGGGUCCGGGGCGAGAAUCCUUCCGGCCGUACACGGAGCAUUGACUGGUCAAGUGAUCGUCCCAAAUGGACGACUCGGGUGCGCAAUUUAUAAGUGCAGACUGCGUUCGCGCUCUCCCUGA